UUGUAACUGUACUACUGCAUAUUUUAAUUUGCUGGAAGUUAAGGCUUUGAAAUACUCAAGAUACAUCUGUUGCAGGUUGCAUUCUGAAAAAGGAUAGCUACUUCAAAGUGCUGUGCCCAGGAUAAAUUGCUAAUCCAGGAAUGAAGCCAUGGAUAUAUAGAGCUACAAGUAUAAGGCAGCAAAAAAUGCUUUGAUCAGGAGACAUGAGAAGACUCGAUCUUCUGUCUAGUGCUGACACAGGCAAAGUCAUGUCUUCUCAUCUCUUCAGCCUGCUGAGAAGUGAUGCUAGGUUCUGUACAGUAAAAAGGCAUCAGAUGUCUUGUUGA
Molecule: long non-coding RNA, 326 nt
Filed under: Anser brachyrhynchus (Pink-footed goose)
Lineage: Eukaryota; Metazoa; Chordata; Aves; Anseriformes; Anatidae
Description: lncRNA (ENSABRG00000017369.1)
Source: RNAcentral